CUUCCAGUGCCUUAAUCCCUUACCAGGUUCUCCGUAUUCUCUUUCUUCUUACAUCCCAUCUUAGGCUACUUGAAUAAAUUUGAACUUAUGUUUGUCAAUGUAACUGAUUUUAUAUUUUUGUUACUCGUAACUUCUCUGCAUUUUUUAUUUUUUUUUUGUCUUGGAAGAAGUGGUAAUCCACUAAAAUUAAACUCAUCCACAACUGUGAGGUCUCGGAUUCGAACCCGGGUCACGACGUCGUGCCUUGCAAUUUCAUCAUUUAAUGAUACAUUACAUUGGUAAAGAAUUACUUGUUCACUAUGACUAUUAUUAUGACAAUCUAGGUUUGUUUGGUAAAAAAAUAGCCGAUAGUUGAUACACUAGCUUAUAGCAGAUGAUUUAUAAGUUAGCAAUUGAAUUUGUAGUGUUUGGUAAAUUAGUUGUUCAAGUAGCUUAUAAAUAUGAAAUGACAUAAAAAAGUAAGCAUUUAAUUAAUAUUUAUUUUUUAAAUUAAGAUUGCAGGGGUAAAAUAAAGAUAAAAAAUGAUAAGCUAUAAGCUACUUGAAUUAGCUUAUCAAAAACCGCUAUAAGCUCAAGAAAAUAAGAUAUAAGCUUGUGUAAAAAUGACAAUUAGCAAACAGGUCUCUUUUAAUCAUAUGAGCUGAUAAGGUAUAAGCCAUAAGCUCAAUUUUAUGUUUUACCAAACAUUCACAUAACAAUUGUUAACUUAUCCUUGAUAUUUAAAUUUACUAGAAAAAUAAAAUGGUAGGAAAGCCUCGAGUUCAUGAUUUAACGGUCAGGUAUGGUCAUGAGAGUCCUAGUAGCAUCAUGAGCUCAAGGCUUGUAAUAAUCACAUCACAUUGAUACUAGAACUCUAGAAUACUAACACUAUCAGAACCCAAAUCAAAGUAGAUGAGAAAAGUAGGGUUAUCUUAAAAUUUCCAAGUUCAUUAUGUUCCGUUUGACAGUCUCGAGAGGAGGAAAUGAGAGGGCUUUGGGGUGGGGAGGGGAGGGAAAGAGAAAAAUCUCACAGUUUAUUUGAAAAGGAAAUGCUUAUGUUUAAUGUAUUUUAUUUAGUUUUAUUUUUGAGAGUAUUAUAAAAAGAUGGAAGUGAUUUGAAUAUUUUUUAAGCUCUUUAAAGUCCUCUUGCAGUACAUUUUUUGAGUUCUCCAAUAUUAGGGGGAAUUUGUAUUAUGAAGAGAAGUAAACCUCAUAUUCAAGUGUGUGGAAUAUCCUCUUUCCCCUUCCCUUUUCCCAAAGUCCUUCCAUACAGAGUCUAAUAUGUUUAUUGGAUCCUUGGACACUGUACAGUUGCUAGAUAAUGGCUAGGGUUUGUUGUAUUAUAGAAUGUUGCACUUAUUUUUCAAUAGUAUAAUGGCGGAGAUUAUAACCACCAUUUUAUACCAUAUGUAUUGUGGCGCUCUAUAGUAAACUGCCCGUCGCUUAUAAUUAACGGCAGCAGGGUUUGUGGCAUUCUGGUAAACAACCACUCGUAAAAAAACGCUACUAAAAUUGCCAUUAUUUGCAAAACAAACCUCCAUUUUUACAUGUCUGAUUUGAUUUGUGAGACUUGUAAUAUUUUGUUCUGGUUCUAAGGGUAGAAUUCAGAUUACAUGCCUCUCUUAUUGAAUGAUCUAAAUGCUAUAAUUUCAUUUAUUUAUUUUAACUAAAGUGGUAAAAUGAAGAUACACUGCAUAAUAAUGAUGCUGGCUGUUGUGGAAAAUACGUUAGGAAAUUGUGUAAUGCAAUUUGAUCUCGUCUUGGUUGGUGUCAUUAUGGGUGAUGAUUUUGGUUGUAAACUUUUAUGCACACUUUUGCUCAUUAUUAAUAUACUCCCUUUUGUUCUUGCAAAACAAAACCUGAUCAAAUCAAUGAUUCAAAUUGCAUUAGUUAGUGAUAAGUAUAAGCAAAUUUUGACAUUUAACUAUGUUUGUAUCCAUCUUUAUUCGCAUAGUUUGUGC
RNAcentral lists this long non-coding RNA (1940 nucleotides) under Medicago truncatula (barrel medic). RNAcentral describes it as "long non-coding RNA (MTRU_LNC001936)". The record is from RNAcentral. Lineage: Eukaryota; Viridiplantae; Streptophyta; Magnoliopsida; Fabales; Fabaceae.